Molecule: long non-coding RNA, 1032 nt
Organism: Cyprinus carpio (common carp)
Lineage: Eukaryota; Metazoa; Chordata; Actinopteri; Cypriniformes; Cyprinidae
Source: Ensembl
UUGUAGAUUUUUACGUUGAAAAGAUUGCUGACUGAAUCUGUGCAUUUUCAUUCUUAGGAUGGAGAUGCAAUGCCAUGCACACACAAAUGUACAUGUUAGAGGGGGCCUCAAGGUGGAACAUGAGCCGGACAAAAGAAGCUGUAUCUGUGGUGGGGGCCUCAACCCUCAGGACAUUUGAUGUCUGCACAAUGUCUCAUUUAAACAGCAUUAGCCAACGGGUCCUUGGUCGGGCUUUGAUGCCAGAAUUUACCCCUCCAGGAAAACCCACUGGUAAGAUAUCUCACAGGGAAAUGCUGAGCAUUGGAGUAUUUCUCUCUCUCCUGUAUUUGUUUGUUUGUGUGUGUGUAUGUGUGUCCUCUCCCCAUUAACAAUGUGGUAAAAAUUAUUGCAGGGAAGCGCAUUGCAGUGGAGUACUUGUUGGCCCAGUGCAACAGAGGUGACCAGUUGAUUGCACAUCACAAUGACAUGCCUGAAGUCCCCCCAGAGGAGCCCGAAGAGGAUAGUGAAAUUGACACGACUGUGUGCUAUGCAGCUGACCUUAGGGCUGAUGACUCUGAUCCUCCAGUAGCUGUUGUGCAGGCCCAGGUGACCAGUCAGGUUGGUGACACUGAACCCAAAUCCCCUGAUGAGGAGGUCACUAAGGAAGAGGAAGAUGACACUGCAAGUCCUAGCACAUCAAGCCAGACUACACAGUGUGAUUCCAGAGGUGUCUUGGGCUGGGAGGCAGUUGAUGCCCUGGCAGCCUACUUGGUUGGCCUAAACCGAACGAUCACUGCCUUGUCAUCACAAGAGGAGGCCAACAUAGUCCAGCUGUACAUGGCUCUGCAUACCAUGGACAAGGUACCAUAUAAAAUAUAGCCAGAGGGUUAAGAAGAAGGCUUUGACAGGACCUUGGAGAGCAUCCAGGAAGCAGAGUGGCUCUGCUCCAGGACAGCAGGCAGCAGAGAGGUAAUUUGACUAUUUGGAUCGUCACUAGUUUAUAACCCAGUAUACAGUUCAGAUUAUAUCAUCUUUCUUUUCCAUAGAUUGUUC